CAAUGACAAAUGAAUUCCGAUAAAUAUUUACCGCGUCCGCGGAUUUCUGGCGGUUGACUUGACGAUCGGCGAGGCAGGAACGCUCGAACGAACCGUUGGUCUUUCAUUCUUCGACCGUCGUUUGGAUAGAUUCAUAGGAAAUCCUGAACAUAAAUGGCUUCCGAAAAGGAAGUUGAGAGGACAUGGAGCCGCUGCGCCACGUGGGAAGCAGCAUUGGGUUUAUCUUGCCGAGUUCCAGCAAGACUUCGGGCUGACAUAGCUCUUAAAUGAUAAUGAAGGACCUCGGUACUCUUCUGGCUGAAGUCUAGGAUGGCUUGAUCUCCACAGCUCUUGCCCUUGGAAGGGGUUAAGACACCACUGCUGUUUUGGCUGAAUGCUGAUAGUGAAGAAUACUCCUUGUGGCUUUAAAGAAAAUGGAGGGUAGUAUCAGAGCAGAUAAGAUAUAUUGCCAUCAUUGCUACAGAUUGCAUACCAUGCAGCAAGUGUGAAUGUAGUCGACUGAAAAGAUACUAGAAUUGAACCUGAAGCAGAUACGUUGCCACAACUAACACUGUGGUACAUGUAGCAGCAGCUGGAUGUUCUUUAAAGUGAAGGAUUACAUGUGCUUUUGUAAUUGUGCUGUAGGUGAAGAAAUAACUUCAAUCCAUCCAUGUUAGCAAAUGUCAAAAUUGCUAUGGGAAAUAUACGUCUACAUUUUUUUCUUGUACAGGCAAAAUGUUUGCAAUAAAUAAAUCCUGAAUAUA
This 743-nucleotide long non-coding RNA is filed under the name Penaeus japonicus. RNAcentral's name for it is "uncharacterized LOC122248971". The record is from RNAcentral. Lineage: Eukaryota; Metazoa; Arthropoda; Malacostraca; Decapoda; Penaeidae.